CUAUCCUAUCACGAAAACCCACUGUUUAUUUCGUUCUCGACCUAUUAAUUCACCAGAUAAAAAAAACCCAAGUGAUACGACUCCCUGACCUUCAACAGCACUCAAGCAUCACAUUGUCUCGUGUGAAAGCCUGAAAACAAGUGAGAGUUUUUAGCAACACAAGAAGUCUACCUGUAACAGGUUUGACCAUGAAGUGCCACCUGGCCCUCUUGCUUCUUGUGGGCUUCCUGGCACCCUCUGCCCGGGCCACUUUCAUGACCCAAGAGAACACCUUUGAAUUAAUGCUCCCGGUUGCACGUGGUUCCCAAGGGGAAGUCCAAGGGGGCUAAAGCUAGGCUUAGGAAGUUGAAGAUCAGGAUAUAUGCUGC
Molecule: non-coding RNA, 368 nt
Organism: Cherax quadricarinatus
Lineage: Eukaryota; Metazoa; Arthropoda; Malacostraca; Decapoda; Parastacidae
Source: RefSeq, a predicted model, not a curated record